GAUGGGGCGGGACAGACUCGGUCAGAGCUCGGGAACAGCUCCAGAGCCACUCGUGCCCAGAGUGGAUUCACUGUCACACAUUCCCUGCAAGAACGUUUGUGAGAGGAAAAGCAAAGUGCAAGCCUGAGUUGUUCUCUCUGAGGUCAAGAAUUAGGAAAAAUCUUCCUGGCACACAAAUCCAGAACUCUUGGAGGUCCAAAGGAGCUGCUCCUGCCUCCUUGUUCACACCAGAGAGGGGCUUGGAGUCUGUCCAGUGCUUCCAUGAACUCCAGUUCCAUCCUGCUGCUGCCCACAGGUCUCCAUACUUUAAAUCAUUAUAUCCUGAUUAAAGUAUGCCAGCAACACACCCCUUCAAAAGAAAAAGCUUUUAGUUCAACGUGAGAUAUAUGGCAUUUGGGGAAAAAAGGCUUGACUUGCAUAGUUCUGAUCUCAGUUGCUGAUUCAGUGCUGUUCCUGGGAUAUAUCUUCUUGCUCGUGUCUUGGGCUUAGGUAAGUAGACCAGUACUCUCUAUACCAUUUUGGUUUUUUACCCAUUUGCUUUACAGAAUGGUUUCAGGGAUAUAAUUAGGUAAGCAGUGUGAAAAGUGUAUUCCCAGAUGCUUUUUGGGCAGUUCUUCCUGAGGUAACCACCAACAGCCUCUCUCAGCUUAAUGAUGUCUACUGUUGGCAGUGCUGCUGCCAGCGAGUGAGGUUAAUGUCAGGAAAUAAAAUAAAAUCUGCUUAGUAAACA
This 730-nucleotide long non-coding RNA is filed under the name Zonotrichia albicollis (white-throated sparrow). RNAcentral's name for it is "lncRNA (ENSZALG00000001419.1)". Lineage: Eukaryota; Metazoa; Chordata; Aves; Passeriformes; Passerellidae. The record is from RNAcentral.